UACGUAGGUCCCGAGCGUUGUCCGGAUUUAUUGGGCGUAAAGCGAGCGCAGGUGGUUUAAUAAGUCUGAUGUAAAAGGCAGUGGCUCAACCAUUGUGUGCAUUGGAAACUGGUAGACUUGAGUGCAGUAGAGGAGAGUGGAAUUCCAUGUGUAGCGGUGAAAUGCGUAGAUAUCGGGAGGAACACCAGUGGCGAAAGCGGCUCUCUGGACUGUAACUGACACUGAGGCUCGAAAGCGUGGGUAGCAAACAGG
Molecule: ribosomal RNA, 252 nt
Filed under: uncultured microorganism
Description: partial 16S ribosomal RNA
Rfam family: Bacterial small subunit ribosomal RNA
Source: RNAcentral